CUAGCCGUAAACGAUGAGCACUAGAUCGAAGGGUCCUCCAUAGCCUUUUGGUCGUAGCGAAAGUGUUAAGUGCUCCGCCUGGGGANCGAAGAACCUUAUCCUAGUCUUGACAUGCACGGAUUAACUCGGUGAAAGCCGAGCCAGGCCUUCGGGUACAACGUGCACAGGUGC
This 171-nucleotide ribosomal RNA is filed under the name uncultured bacterium. Its description in RNAcentral is "partial 16S ribosomal RNA". The record is from RNAcentral.